AUAGUUACUGAGGCCACUGCACGUAUCACACGAUGUUGGAUACAGUGGGCAAAAGAGGUCUGGAUUCCUUUAUUGAGCUGCUUCCGCCGUAGUGGGAAGACAGCAGGUGCACAUGCAACAAUGGAAGAACCAUUGAAAGUGGGUGCAUCUGGGACUGGAAGAGACUGCACACCUGGGGACCACGAAAGCCCAAAGAAAUCUAGAUAAGCUGGAAAGUUUACUUUCAAGCCUUCUAGUCCCUGAGAAGGUGGUUGGCCCAAAUGUGGACAUGUUUGAUCCAAGUUCAGAGAAGAGUGGGAAGAUCAAAUAAAGGUUCAGAGACUUCAAAAAAUAAAACCAGCAGAUGUGAAAAUGAAGCUGGAGGAGGUCUUGCACGUUUUCGUUGAAGGACGCUGACGACAUGCAAAAGGUUCAGUGGUGCCUCUGAGCUGGGACCGAAUGUCAUCUCAUUUGUCAUCUCGUGUGCCAUUUCUUAUCAUUCUGCUUGACUGUCAAUCAUUGCAUGAUUGUAACUUCAAAGACUCAUUUUGUUAAUAAAGAACCAUUAGGAAGCUAAGCUAGAAACAGAAAUUUAAAAAAGGAAAA
This is a long non-coding RNA of Mustela erminea (ermine), 585 nucleotides long. RefSeq lists it as uncharacterized. The record is from RefSeq and is a predicted model, not a curated record. The transcript is spliced from 2 exons. Lineage: Eukaryota; Metazoa; Chordata; Mammalia; Carnivora; Mustelidae.